GGGCAAUCGAAUGGGGCGAAGCUGACGGAGCACGCCGCGUGAGUGAAGAAGGUCUUCGGAUCGUAAAACUCUGUUAUUAGGGAAGAACAAAUGUGUAAGUAACUAUGCACGUCUUGACGGUACCUAAUCAGAAAGCCACGGCUAACUACGUGCCAGCAGCCGCGGUAAUAA
RNAcentral lists this ribosomal RNA (171 nucleotides) under uncultured bacterium. Its description in RNAcentral is "partial 16S ribosomal RNA". It matches the Rfam family "Bacterial small subunit ribosomal RNA", at positions 357 to 526 of the family's 1533-position model. The record is from RNAcentral.